CCUACGGGAGGCAGCAGUGGGGAAUAUUGCACAAUGGGGGAAACCCUGAUGCAGCGACGCCGCGUGAAGGAAGACGUAUCUCGGAGUGUAAACCUCUAUCAGCAGGGGAGAAAAUGACGGUACCUGAAUAAGAAGCCACGGCUAACGACGUGCCAGCAGCCGCGGUAAUACGUAGGGGGCAAGCGUUAUCCGGAUUUACUGGGUGUAAAGGGGGCGUAGGCGGUUUAGCAAGUCAGGAGUGAACGCCCGGGGCUCAACCCCGGGACUGCUUUUGAAACUGUGGGACUAGAGUGCAGGAGCGGUAGGUGGAAUGCCUGGUGUAGCGGUGAAAUGCGUAGAUAUCA
RNAcentral lists this ribosomal RNA (344 nucleotides) under uncultured bacterium. RNAcentral's name for it is "partial 16S ribosomal RNA". It matches the Rfam family "Bacterial small subunit ribosomal RNA", at positions 338 to 699 of the family's 1533-position model. The record is from RNAcentral.